RNAcentral lists this ribosomal RNA (376 nucleotides) under Platocoelotes sp. ZZ533. RNAcentral describes it as "partial 16S ribosomal RNA". The record is from RNAcentral. Lineage: Eukaryota; Metazoa; Arthropoda; Arachnida; Araneae; Agelenidae.
CUCAAUGAAAUUCAAUAGCCGCAAUAUUUGUGCUAAGGUAGCAUAAUCAUUUGUUUUUUAAUUAAAAACUAGAACGAAAGAUUUAACAUUUCUAUUUCUAUCUUAUAUAUAUAAAUAUAAUUUAUUUUAAAUAUUAAAAAAUAUUUAUUAUUUAAAAAGACGACAAGACCCUAUCGAACUUAACUAAAGUUUAACUGGGGUAGUUGAUUAAAUACAAUUUUAAUUUAAUUUUAAAAAAAUCUAAUACAAUUAAAUAAUCAAGUUACCGUAGGGAUAACAGCGUAAUAAUUUUUACAAGAUCUUAUUCAAAAAAUCGUUUACGACCUCGAUGUUGAAUUAUUAAUCUAUUAAAUGCAAUAAUUUAAUAAUGAGAGUC